Molecule: small nuclear RNA, 139 nt
Organism: Neogale vison (American mink)
Lineage: Eukaryota; Metazoa; Chordata; Mammalia; Carnivora; Mustelidae
Product: U4 spliceosomal RNA
Exons: 1
Source: RefSeq, a predicted model, not a curated record
AGCUUUGCGCAGUGGCAGUAUCGUAGCCAAUGAGGUUUAUUCGAGGCGCGAUUAUUGCUAAUUGAAAAAGUUUAAUUUCAAAACUCUUAAGUCAGAAAAAAAAACACACAAUGGAAGUUCCCUUGACAGCUUCAAGCAG